CCCACGGAUGGAGCCGCCCCAGCCACGGGCAGAGUUGAUGCUUGGCUGAUCUGAGUGGCCUCCUUUCUGGAUUUUUGCUGGGGGCUGAUCCUCCACAGCCAUGCUUUGAGCAAAAGACAGACGAGAGAAAGAGCGAGGCGUGUUUUGCUGAAUGACAAUGUUGCGCCUCUCCUGACCAAUAGCAAAUUUUAUCAGGGCUUCCACUGAG
RNAcentral lists this long non-coding RNA (208 nucleotides) under Dunaliella salina. RNAcentral's name for it is "long non-coding RNA (DSAL_LNC000382)". The record is from RNAcentral. Lineage: Eukaryota; Viridiplantae; Chlorophyta; Chlorophyceae; Chlamydomonadales; Dunaliellaceae.